CAAAAGCCACAGAAAAUCUGCAAAAACUUUAAGAAGAAAUGGUUAUUUCAGGUUUUAUACAUCAUUCAGGUAUCCAUUUGAUUAAACCAUCCUUUUCCACUGCUGCGUACCCAUGCCAAAACACUCUGUGACCAGCCUGAUUCCCACGCUAUUGCUCCCGGUUCCUUAACCUGAACCAAAGGAUAAUUUUUGUCACCUGGGUUGGCAUAAAGUGUUUCCACAGGGCGGGUGUGGACUCGUCACCUCUAACAAAAUGAUUUAAUGAAUAAAGGGUGUGGGACAAUAAAGUCUGUUGCCGGUCUAUGGGUAUUGUCCCCUUAUGACCUUCCCCCUCCCCAGGCUGUUGGAGUUUGGCUUUUAGGGUGCAAUGCGCACGUUCCACUAUUGCUUGCCCUUGACUGUUGUAAGGAAGGCCGUGUACUAACUUGAUGUGUCAUAAUGCACACCAUUCUUUGGUACGUCUAGCGAUGAAACAAGGGCCAUUAUCUGUUUCGAUCUCUUGUGGCUUCCCUAAUAAGGUGAUGACGCCCUCCCAAUGAACAAUAAUGUGUCUGGCUGUUUGUUUGCGAGCCAUCGUGGCUAAUAGUGUAGAGCUAAAGGUGUCGAUGGUUACUAUGAGGUAUUUAUUUGGUUUUAACAAUUCUCAUGCU
This is a long non-coding RNA of Athene cunicularia (burrowing owl), 650 nucleotides long. RefSeq lists it as uncharacterized. The record is from RefSeq and is a predicted model, not a curated record. The transcript has 3 exons. Lineage: Eukaryota; Metazoa; Chordata; Aves; Strigiformes; Strigidae.